RNAcentral lists this ribosomal RNA (551 nucleotides) under uncultured Methanomicrobiales archaeon. Its description in RNAcentral is "bacterial SSU rRNA". It matches the Rfam family "Archaeal small subunit ribosomal RNA", at positions 339 to 893 of the family's 1478-position model. The record is from RNAcentral. Lineage: Archaea; Methanobacteriati; Methanobacteriota; Methanomicrobia; Methanomicrobiales.
GCGCGAAAACUUUACAAUGCGGGAAACCGUGAUAAGGGAACUCCGAGUGCCCGUAAAAUCGGGCUGUCCAUCUGUUUAAAUAACAGGUGAAGAAAGGGCCGGGCAAGACCGGUGCCAGCCGCCGCGGUAAUACCGGCGGCUCGAGUGGUGGCCACUAUUACUGGGCUUAAAGCGUUCGUAGCUGGUCUGUUAAGUCUCUGGGGAAAUCUACUGGCUUAACCGGAAGGCGUCUCAGGGAUACUGGCAGACUAGGGACCGGGAGAGGUGAGGGGUACUCCAGGGGUAGGAGUGAAAUCCUGUAAUCCUUGGGGGACCACCUGUGGCGAAGGCGCCUCACCAGAACGGCUCCGACAGUGAGGGACGAAAGCUGGGGGAGCAAACCGGAUUAGAUACCCGGGUAGUCCCAGCUGUAAACGAUGCGCGUUAGGUGUAUCAGUGACCACGAGUCACCGAGGUGCCGAAGAGAAAUCGUGAAACGUGCCGCCUGGGAAGUACGGUCGCAAGGCUGAAACUUAAAGGAAUUGGCGGGGGAGCGACCACAACAGGUGGAG